RNAcentral lists this small RNA (89 nucleotides) under Flavobacterium saliperosum. Its description in RNAcentral is "Flavo-1 RNA". It matches the Rfam family "Flavo-1 RNA". Lineage: Bacteria; Pseudomonadati; Bacteroidota; Flavobacteriia; Flavobacteriales; Flavobacteriaceae. The record is from RNAcentral.
CUUUAGCCCCGAUUGUAGAGGAAAUCCUGACUUUGUGAGCUUGUGUACAAGCUCGCAAUGACAGAUUGGAACGGAAAGCGGGAACAGGG